Molecule: long non-coding RNA, 719 nt
Organism: Photinus pyralis (common eastern firefly)
Lineage: Eukaryota; Metazoa; Arthropoda; Insecta; Coleoptera; Lampyridae
Exons: 3
Source: RefSeq, a predicted model, not a curated record
UGCAUGUAGCGGAGAAUAGUAUACUUGUGAAUGUAGAUUGUAGUUAUUGAUCUCCAGUGGCGGAGACAUUAGGAAUUUCGUUGUUAAUCAUUUGUUCCCGUUUGCUACUGUUUUUACGCAAGCAACUGUUUUGCUAGGUUAGUAGGUUACUUAUUAUAGGAUCCAGUCAUCAAUUUAAGGGCUGUAAGCGGCCUGCCAUGUUUGUCAAUGUAGGGAACGUCUAUGUUGGUUUAUCUGAGGAAUUUUUGGAGGUCUUUAGGUCAGAGCCGGUAUCUUCAAAACCGAUAAUAACGUUGAAAAUCCUUCCUUUUGAUCACCGACCGUUGUGGCACUCCCAUGUUUGAGGAAAUCGUUAAAUCCUUAAUUAUUGGAAAUUUGUCAGUACUCCAGUCUUCUGGGUUAAUUACGAAAAGCGAUAGUAAUUGGUAUUGCCGUGUAUCAUUGUGGAUACGUUUAUUUUGGGCAAUUCUUCACCUUUAGUGUGGUUUUGUUAUCGCUUAACGUUCUGAGGCUGACUGGAUUGGGAAAAAACCCUGUACGUGUAUUGCACUGCUUAUUGGUUGAAAUUGUUCAACGUAGGGAUAUUUCCGAAAAUUGUACAGGGUUUUUUUUUGUAUUAUUUGUCUAAUUUAAUAAAUUACCUUCAAACUGGGAAUCGGUAAAUGGAAUGCAUAUGUUUGGCUUGGCUGUGAUUGUUGAAGAUUGUUUACCUGCGAGUG